AGAGUUUGAUCAUGGCUCAGAGCGAACGCUGGCGGCAGGCUUAACACAUGCAAGUCGAGCGGGCGUAGCAAUACGUCAGCGGCAGACGGGUGAGUAACGCGUGGGAACAUACCUUUUGGUUCGGAACAACACAGGGAAACUUGUGCUAAUACCGGAUAAGCCCUUACGGGGAAAGAUUUAUCGCCGAAAGAUUGGCCCGCGUCUGAUUAGCUAGUUGGUGAGGUAACGGCUCACCAAGGCGACGAUCAGUAGCUGGUCUGAGAGGAUGAUCAGCCACGUUGGGACUGAGACACGGCCCAAACUCCUACGGGAGGCAGCAGUGGGGAAUAUUGGACAAUGGGCGCAAGCCUGAUCCAGCCAUGCCGCGUGAGUGAUGAAGGCCCUAGGGUUGUAAAGCUCUUUUGUGCGGGAAGAUAAUGACGGUACCGCAAGAAUAAGCCCCGGCUAACUUCGUGCCAGCAGCCGCGGUAAUACGAGGGGGGCUAGCGUUGCUCGGAAUCACUGGGCGUAAAGGGUGCGUAGGCGGGUUUUUAAGUCAGAGGUGAAAUCCUGGAGCUCAACUCCAGAACUGCCUUUGAUACUGAGAGUCUUGAGUUCGGGAGAGGUGAGUGGAACUGCGAGUGUAGAGGUGAAAUUCGUAGAUAUUCGCAAGAACACCAGUGGCGAAGGCGGCUCACUGGCCCGAUACUGACGCUGAUGCACGAAAGCGUGGGGAGCAAACAGGAUUAGAUACCCUCGUAGUCC
This 744-nucleotide ribosomal RNA is filed under the name uncultured bacterium. Its description in RNAcentral is "bacterial SSU rRNA". It matches the Rfam family "Bacterial small subunit ribosomal RNA", at positions 8 to 796 of the family's 1533-position model. The record is from RNAcentral.